UGACGCCAUCCAACAUUUUACGGAACAGCAGCUGCAGAGAGAGGUGGAGGAGCUGAAAGAGGCUGUCCCUCCGACAGCAGUUUCCCCCCCCAGGGACACCGUCUUGGCCUUGCCCCCUCCUCAAAAGACCAAGGCGAUCCUGCGCCUGGGAGAGACCAACGCCAUGCUGAGAACAAGGAUUGCUGAGCGCUUCUACUUCCCCUUCAUCUUCCCCCGCUUCCUCAUGAAAGGCUUCGUCCCCUUCGUGAAGCUCCCGCUGCCGAAGGUCACUUUGCAGCCCUUCCCGUCCCUCUCCAAGAGGCCGCCGAGCUCUUUCCCUGCCGGGCAGCAGCUGGUGCACAAGUAUUUCAUCCCAAAGCUUUCCUACGCCGACAGCUACCCCUGAAGGCUGGGCUGGCUGGCAGAGGCCCAGGCGGAGCCGAGGGGCUUCCGAGGCGGGAGUCGGACGGCCCCCUGGCCGAAGAGCCAGGUGGCACCAGCCUGGCACUGGCACACAUGGACCACUGGACCCACCUGGUAGCAACCACCAGGGAGUCUCCUGGGUUCUGACGCCCGAUCAGAUGUGCGGACAGAGGGAGAGAGAGGCGCCAAUAAAGUGGAAAGUGGAGCCUC
Thamnophis sirtalis is the source of this 612-nucleotide non-coding RNA. The record is from RefSeq and is a predicted model, not a curated record. NCBI's taxonomy places the organism in Eukaryota, Metazoa, Chordata, Lepidosauria, Squamata, Natricidae.